GGCCUUGAAAGUGUAAACAUGUCGGACUGCAAAUUCGAAGAAGCAGCUUCAAUUCUGCCGGGGCU
This 65-nucleotide transfer RNA is filed under the name Loxodonta cyclotis (African forest elephant). RNAcentral's name for it is "tRNA-Cys". Lineage: Eukaryota; Metazoa; Chordata; Mammalia; Proboscidea; Elephantidae. The record is from RNAcentral.